UAUUUCCAGGUGUUCACCUCAAAUAGUCCCUU
RNAcentral lists this non-coding RNA (32 nucleotides) under Rattus norvegicus (Norway rat). The record is from RNAcentral. Lineage: Eukaryota; Metazoa; Chordata; Mammalia; Rodentia; Muridae.